Molecule: transfer RNA, 52 nt
Filed under: Lycoris haywardii
Lineage: Eukaryota; Viridiplantae; Streptophyta; Magnoliopsida; Asparagales; Amaryllidaceae
Description: partial tRNA-Ser
Source: RNAcentral
AGUUCGAAAUCCAAAUUUUGAUUUUAUGGUGCGCAUCUGUUAACCAGUAAUG